This 607-nucleotide ribosomal RNA is filed under the name Lynchius parkeri (Parker's Andes frog). RNAcentral's name for it is "partial 16S large subunit ribosomal RNA". The stretch from base 403 to 607 matches the Rfam family "Bacterial large subunit ribosomal RNA", at positions 1697 to 2030 of the family's 2925-position model. The record is from RNAcentral. Lineage: Eukaryota; Metazoa; Chordata; Amphibia; Anura; Strabomantidae.
CCUAAAGAACCCAAGUACUAAAAACACAAAUUUGUCUUUAGAGCAAUUCAAUCAAGGAACAGCUUGUUUGAAUCAGGACACAACCUUAACCAUAGGAUAAUGGAGCCCAGAAUACAACUAAGUAGGCCUAAAAGCAGCCAUCUAUCAAAAGCGUUAAAGCUUACCUGUUUUCCAAAGAAUACCCCAUAUUUUACAGAAUCCCUCAACAGUACCGAGUACAUCUAUUUUAUAGAAAAUUUUAUGUUAAAACUAGUAACAAGAAGUUAUCCUUCUCCUCAAUGCAAGUAUACUCCAGUAAGGACCCCCCGCUGGAAAUUAACACCCCCCCCCAAGUAGUAACCUACAAGAAAAACCUCCUUAACAACCUGUUAACCUAACACAAGAGCAUUCCAGGAAAGAUUAAAAGAAAAAGAAGGAACUCGGCAAACUUCCGCCCCGCCUGUUUACCAAAAACAUCGCCUCUUGAAUUAUAUAAGAGGUCUAGCCNGNCCAGUGACUUGUUUAACGGCCGCGGUAUCCUAACCGUGCGAAGGUAGCGUAAUCACUUGUUCUUUNAAUAAGGACUAGUAUGAAAGGCAUCACGAGGGNCNAGCUGUCUCCYUUNUCU